This 1361-nucleotide long non-coding RNA is filed under the name Oryctolagus cuniculus (rabbit). RNAcentral describes it as "lncRNA (ENSOCUG00000037665.1)". The record is from RNAcentral. Lineage: Eukaryota; Metazoa; Chordata; Mammalia; Lagomorpha; Leporidae.
GAGCGGCAUCGAGACCUCUCCCCCAGCUCGGCGGGACGCUCAGCUCCCGGGCUGCCCCGGGGGCUGGAGAACCGGGAUGCGGCCGGCUGCGGCGGCGGAGCCCCAGCCCGGGAACGCGGGUCCGGGGCCUGGCAGUCGGCUCCAUCACGCGCCCCGCGCUCGACCGUCCGCCGCUGCCCACACCCUAGCGGGAGACCGCACAGGCCUCCUGCGCAGGCUUCCUGCCCCGCUCAAACACGCCCUGCGAAAACUCCAAUUUUCUUUCCCCACUUACGUCAAGCACAGAGAAACAAGCGGGUUUGAUCUGAAUAAUAAUAAUAAUAACAACCACCGCCACCUUCCGUCAGUGCAUUUAAGAUGAAGCGGUUCUGCUCCUCUUCUUAGAAGUACAAAUGUCCUUAUCACUCUCAGCCGCCUCUGCCUGUCCUGAGGUGAGAAUCUUCACAGAAACUUCUCCAAAAGUUCUUCCAGCCCCUCCAUUGCCAGCCACGGCUGGAGCUCCAGCUAAGCACCGGGUCCUCCUUCUGUCACCCUCUGCUCCACAACCCUUCCCCCCUGCAAGAUGUUCUGCCUUUUAAAAAUCAACACUCACCGCUUGUUGUCUGUUCUCAAAAAGGGGUGGGGGGAGGGAGUGUUUAAAAAAAAAAAAGUCUGGCCUUCCUCCUCCCUCAGAGAUUUGGGAGGGAAUAUUAGGAGGACAGAAGCAGCAGAGAGACUGGGAGACUCAGAAAGAGGGAGCUAGAGCGAGAGGGCGGGAGCCCCAGCCACCAGUCCCGGAGGAGUGAAACUACUGAAAAAAAGUCCUGGUGUUCCAACUGCGAAUGAGCGCGCAGGGGCACCCAGCACCCCCACCCCCGGCAGGCCAGGCCUCCGCUGGGCCUCCCCAGGCUACUUCUCAAAUUAGCAUAAUGGUUUCCUAGCGGUGGUGGUCGUGUGGGGGGGGGGUGCUGUGAACUCCGCUGGCUCUCCGUGCCUUCCGGGCUCUCUUCCUCCCCCAGCGCAAUGUGAAAACAUACCUGUUCUUUUCUAGAUCUAUAAAAUAAUCUGUAAAAUCCCUCUACCUUCUUUCCUUCUCACCCCCCCUUUUUUGUGGUGGGGGGCAUUUGCCCCCCCUCCGCCAUCACCACCCUCACCUUCUCUCCUUAUCAGGCAUCUGAGCUAAAGGGGGAGAGGUGGGGGUGUGUGUGAGCUUGUGUGUGAGGGAGCGAGCGUGUGUGUCUGUGUGGUUUUUUUUCCCUGUGCAAAAGCAGAGGCCAUUGUUACGGAGAGUAGGGCGUACCAGUCUUAUAGGGCAACCACCCCGUGGCGGGCUUGGCCGCCCCGGAGCCCGCAGCCCGGACCCGGCCCCCCGGCGAGCCCGG